Molecule: ribosomal RNA, 1038 nt
Filed under: Triticum aestivum (bread wheat)
Lineage: Eukaryota; Viridiplantae; Streptophyta; Magnoliopsida; Poales; Poaceae
Description: partial small subunit ribosomal RNA
Source: RNAcentral
AUGAACUGCCUAUUACGGAACUCGCGCCGCCUCCUCCUUGUCUGUAAGCAGGCAGGCGGCGUCCGUCGACUGGCUUCGCUGCUGCCGCCCCAUGCAAACCAGGUGCUCCGCUUCAGUCAGUUGUACCGUAAUCCGCGUACGGUCGCUGCGGUGGCGGCCGUCGCCUCAGGUGCCGCGGCUAUGGCCGCCUUGGGCCGCUACGAUCGCGAGGUUGUGCCUUACACGAACCGCACGCACAUGGUCAUCAGGUCUCCCCAGGCCGAACGCCAGCUCUGGGAGUCCCGUUACACAAAGGACAAGAAAAUAUGGGCUUCCAAAUCAUGGAUCGUCGACCCGCUUCACCCAGACAGCGUUCGUGUACGUCGGAUCGCCGAGAAAGUUAUUGGCGCCACCUAUCGUACCCUCCCUAUCAACAGCAGCCACGAUGUCACCAAGAGCCCCAAGCCACAGACAAGUCAUCUUGAGGGGUUUGAGUGGGAGGUGAUACUUAUCAAAGACAACAGGCCCAAUGCAUUCUGCGUCCCUGGUGGCAAAAUUGCAGUAUUCACUGGAUUGCUCAAACAUUUUACAGAUGCCGAGAUUGCCUUUGUUAUUGCGCAUGAGAUUGGGCACAUCGUUGCCAGGCACUGCUCGGAAAUUUGGUACGCCAAGUGGUUUCCGUUACCCUUGAUUUUGCCUUUCUUUCAAAGGACGGAGAUGGAGGCAGAUCACAUUGGAACGCUUCUACUUGGAGCUGCUGGUUUCCAUCCAUACGCGUCCCUCUUGUACUUCCGGAAGGCCGCAAUGAUUGAAAGAGCGUCCUGGACGCCAGAAGAUCCCAUCCCUCUUCAUCCUUCAGAUAAGAGAAGGGUUGAGCGUUUGUAUCAACCCAAAAUCAUGGAGGAGGCGAUGAAGUUAUAUAAGGAAGCUCCGCCCGACGAAGACACCAGCUCACAAGCCACCGGUGAAGGUUUUUCCUUUCGACAAACCCUGGGAGAUGCAUGCAAACUUAUAUCGACAAGCCUGAGACGAGCACUUACGGGGGGAUCAACAUAUUAG